AACUAGUCAACGUGCUGGAAGCUGUUUUCAAGCCUGAAGUUCGCUGAUUCAGAGCAGACAUCCAGCCAUUGUUGGUGAUGAAAGAAGAAAUUCUCCCUGAACAAGAAGAAUGUAAUCUGAAUGUUGACCAGGAGGACAU
This is a long non-coding RNA of Thalassophryne amazonica, 139 nucleotides long. RefSeq lists it as uncharacterized. NCBI's taxonomy places the organism in Eukaryota, Metazoa, Chordata, Actinopteri, Batrachoidiformes, Batrachoididae. The record is from RefSeq and is a predicted model, not a curated record. The transcript is spliced from 2 exons.